Long non-coding RNA from Osmerus eperlanus (European smelt), 471 nucleotides. RefSeq lists it as uncharacterized. Lineage: Eukaryota; Metazoa; Chordata; Actinopteri; Osmeriformes; Osmeridae. The transcript has 3 exons. The record is from RefSeq and is a predicted model, not a curated record.
UGUCAAAACAACAAAUGUUGUCAUACUAAUGCUUUGUAUACAACCAUUCAAGGUAACAUUUGUUAUUUACAUCAAUGUUACAGCUAAUCUAGAAGAACCACAGUGUAUGCCAAUCAUGCAAACUCUUGUAAACUUGUUUUACUUGUCUUUAAUGACAGACACAUUAUAGGUUAUGCUCCAGAAGAUGGAGACAUUGGAGGAGAACCAGCGAGAGGCUCUCCUAUUCAGGCGACUACAGGGCAGAAACACUGAAGAGGUGCCAGUGAUGGACCUACAGGUGGCCCAAACACAGGCUGAACUCCAAGACCUUGAGGAGCGCCUUAAGGUGCUGGAGUUGCGAAAGAGACUGACGCUGUGAUGAAGUGGAAGACGGGACUGGGAGAGAAAGCUGUGGAGCUCCUCAUAGAGGAGACACUCAAACACACCCCGGCAGCCCAUUCAAAACAAGCCAGGGCCAACAGACAAGACCUG